RNAcentral lists this ribosomal RNA (428 nucleotides) under Nematoda sp. ex Grus americana W332. RNAcentral's name for it is "bacterial SSU rRNA". It matches the Rfam family "Eukaryotic small subunit ribosomal RNA", at positions 372 to 808 of the family's 1831-position model. RNAcentral also lists the same sequence under 1 other name. Lineage: Eukaryota; Metazoa; Nematoda. The record is from RNAcentral.
AGGGUUCGACUCCGGAGAAGCUGCCUUAGAAACGGCAACUACAUCCAAGGAAGGCAGCAGGCGCGCAAAUUACCCACUCUCAGUUUGAGGAGGUAGUGACGAAAAAUAACGAGGCGGGUCUCUUCGAGGUUCGCCAUCGGAAUGGGUACAAUCUAAACCCUUUAACGAGGAUCUAUUGGAGGGCAAGUCUGGUGCCAGCAGCCGCGGUAAUUCCAGCUCCAAUAGCGUAUACUAAAGUUGUUGCGGUUAAAAAGCUCGUAGUUGGAUCUGCAAUCCCAGGGUGGGGUGCCUCAUUGAGUGUUACUCCGCCCGGGAUUUACCUUCUGGUCUGGUUCUAGGUGUCCUUCACCGGAUGCCUUGAGCUGCCAGAGCUUUUACUUUGAAAAAAUUAGAGUGCUCAAAGCAGGCGCUUGCCUGAAUAGUGGUGC